Molecule: ribosomal RNA, 197 nt
Filed under: Bacillus subtilis
Lineage: Bacteria; Bacillati; Bacillota; Bacilli; Caryophanales; Bacillaceae
Also listed under: 4 other names
Description: partial 16S ribosomal RNA
Rfam family: Bacterial small subunit ribosomal RNA
Source: RNAcentral
UUAUCGGAGAGUUUGAUCCUGGCUCAGGACGAACGCUGGCGGCGUGCCUAAUACAUGCAAGUCGAGCGGACAGAUGGGAGCUUGCUCCCUGAUGUUAGCGGCGGACGGGUGAGUAACACGUGGGUAACCUGCCUGUAAGACUGGGAUAACUCCGGGAAACCGGGGCUAAUACCGGAUGGUUGUUUGAACCGCAUGGU